GAGUUCGUGCAUUCAAGUGACUGCGACGAGAAGAGCAGGAUAUUCCUCCUGGGUUUCACUGGAAGCAAAGCGUCCUGAGGCCUGGUGCCUUCAGUGCCUUCACAAAGACCCCCUUCUCUGCUUUAAGUGAAAGCUAGAGGAAUGAAGGGCACUUGGCCUGGGAGACCACCCAAGAACAGUGCUUCGUUCAUCACCCGGAGACAGUGGCCUGUUCAAAAGAGGAUUUCUCAACUUUAGAAGGAUGAUUCUGGCUGUGGUGUUGAGAAGAGACUCCAGCAAGGAUGGAAGUUGAGACAAACAUGGCAGCAGGAAGACCCUCUAAGGAGCUACGGCAAUAGAAGAAAAGGACUGAGGUCCUCUCGCCACCAAACUGAAGCUGAAACCUCAGCCUCUCAGUUCAUCAUUUGAAUGGUGUCAAGAAUAUGAGAUGGUGUGAGGAUGAUGGGAGAAAGGGCAUCUGAAAUGCUUGUUUUGGUUCCUCCUGAAUCCACAGUCAGUACUCAGUAGAGUAGCCAUGGUUUUAAUUAUUUUAAGAGGAAGAUUCACAAGGAUGUGCCCACAAAACACUGCCAAUUUGCAGCUGAAAAUGAUAACUGGAUUGAUAUUCCUCUUUGAGAUGCAAGCAGAUGCCUCCACCAACUAUCUCGAACCGGAAUGCCGCAGCCUCCCCUUCGUCCGCAUUUAUCCUUGGCAGGAGCACCGUCUAUUUUGGGAAGGAUGAAUCCCUGAGGACACCUGCAAAGGACUGGAAGCUCUUAGCAACUCCUUGACCUGAGAGUGAGGAACCGAGCGGUGGGAGCCCCAGGACCUGCCCAUCAUCACGUCUCUGCAGUGGCCUUGCCACAACCUGCCUGGCGGGUUCUCCUGGAUUGGGGGAAGGUCUGGACCCGUAUCCCUCGGGGGUUCUCCUAGGUCUCUUAUGGAGGAGGUGGCAGGGCAGGGAAUUGCGCAGGGACUUUCGACUCCAUUUCCAAGGCACAUGCAUUUGCUAAGUGCUAAGACUUCUGUAAGAUAGUUGGAGUGGAAAAUGGAACCCUUAACCCUAGACCCUAAAGUUCAACACUUUCAUGAUCGCUACAAUGGGCGCUAAAGAGAAGAGAACAGAGGAAACAGUCUGGGCAAAUGUAUCCUGUUUGUUGUUAUGGGGCUUUGGUCUCAAAUCUCUGUGGUUGAACUGAGCUAGUUUGGAGCAUGUGUCAGCUGUGAGCAUGCCCUUUGCCUGUCUAAAUUCAGGUGGAAGACGAAAAGCCUAAUGAUAAGUUCAAGGUCAAAUAAGUCUAAAUAUGAAUAAGAAGCAAUAAAGCAUAGUCCUAAAGUCAGAUGUGAAAGCGAGAGAAUGUGAUGCUUAUGGAUGAGAAAAGUGAGACAGGCCUUAUGGAAUCUCCAGCUUUCAUGCUGGACUUUGUUUGGUAUAGAACCUUCUCAGCAUGGUGCUAGGAUGCUCCCUUCUCAGGAAAUAGCUCAGACGGGAGAAACCUUGAGCUUCUCCCAGUAGCUGAAACGUGCCUCAAACAUUCAUUACAGCUUCUUAGACAGAGUUCGCUGAGGAAAGUUGUGUUCCCCGGGGCUGGAAAUUCUAGUAGACUGUAGGUGCUUUCAAACUUUGUGGUUUUUACUUAAUUUUUUUAUUUUAAAAAAUUUUUUGAAAAGAUACUUCUUUUAGGCAUAGAAACUUAUACAGAACUCUAAUAUGUAACUGGUUAAAAUGUAUUCUAUUUGUAUAAAUUUAUUUUAGGAACUCAAAUGCAGUGAAGCUUUGCUACAUGCACUCUUUACUGGAUAACAGUGAGGAGAGUGGGCGGGGAGAUAUCCACUCAUUGAAAAGGAGAUUGCAAACCAAAUUUCCAAAA
Molecule: long non-coding RNA, 1850 nt
Filed under: Sus scrofa (pig)
Lineage: Eukaryota; Metazoa; Chordata; Mammalia; Artiodactyla; Suidae
Description: lncRNA (ENSSSCG00030025148.1)
Source: RNAcentral